Long non-coding RNA from Helianthus annuus (common sunflower), 365 nucleotides. RefSeq lists it as uncharacterized. The record is from RefSeq and is a predicted model, not a curated record. Lineage: Eukaryota; Viridiplantae; Streptophyta; Magnoliopsida; Asterales; Asteraceae. The transcript is spliced from 3 exons.
UCGCGAACCAGGAAGGAGAAAGGGGAAAAAACCCCUUAGCAUCACAAAUCACCAAAUUGAAGCCCCAAUUGUGAUCUUAAGAUCGUGCAUGUACUAAUAUUGGAUCAUCUACACAUUAUUAAACACAAGGAAUUAAGGAGGAAAGCACAAGCCGUUCCGAGUCUCAAACGAAGAACGAUAAAGGAAUUAAGGAGGAAAGCACAAGCCGUUCCGAGUCUCAAACGAAGAACGAUAAAGGUAAGUUAUAGCUUACAUAUGAUCAUUAUAAUGUAAUGUUGUAGUAUACUAUUGUUUAAUGAUUGAAGUUGUAUUAUGUAACAAGUUAUGGUAAGCCGUUAUGUAAUCAAGGUAUGGGUUGAAUGAGC